This 2077-nucleotide unclassified non-coding RNA is filed under the name Bactrocera latifrons. Its description in RNAcentral is "zinc finger protein 852-like, transcript variant X1". The record is from RNAcentral. Lineage: Eukaryota; Metazoa; Arthropoda; Insecta; Diptera; Tephritidae.
GUUGUGUUUUGAAUGGUUUAAGUUAUCGUCUUCUAUUUUUAAUACUUUUAACAACUCACUCGAAUUAUAUGUUAUAAUUAAUUUUGUUAAAUUCAAAUUGAUGUUUACCAAGCCCUGUGUUAGCAAAUUACACAAAUGUAAUGUGCAGCAAUGGACACAAAAAGUGAGUUACAUUUCGAAUGUCUUUGUCGUACUUGCAUGUACGAAGUGCCUGAGGCGAACUCUUUUUCCGCUUCCACCAAUGAAGCUGCAGAACAACAAUUGCAAUCUAUCUUUACUACCGUAGCUGAAUGUGGUACAAUGCGCAUUGCAGAUCUGCUAGCAAGAACUAUGCCACAACUACAACUAAACUUAAGUGAUGAGCUGCCGCAGCACAUAUGCCGGGUAUGCCUACAGCAACUGCUGAGUGUGUAUCGCUUUCAACAGAUGUGCAUACAAUCCGAAAACCAAUUCCAAGAGUGGCUAGCUAAGCGAUAUAUUGAUUUGAAACCUAUAACAGAGAUUGUUUCGGAAACAAAAGUGUUUACACUACCGGAACCGGUGCUAGACACUAUUGAAACUUCAAAUAAUGUAAUAACAUCUUUAAAUGUGGAUGAUCCACUCCAGAGCAUUGCUGAAAUAAUUAAAAUAAAUAAAGAUGAGUCGAAUAAUAUUAGUGUGUAUCUUAAAAGAGAGAUAAGUGAUGAUGAUGAUGUAUGUACUUCUGGUUAUACUGUUUGUGAAGUCUCAGAACCAAACGAGCAACUUGUUUCAACACAAAUUAAAGUCGAAAUUGAAACGCCAAUAGCAGUAGCAGAAACCACAACCACCAGCGAUGAAGUCUCAAGUCUUGAGGAUGUUGAUAGUGAAGAGGAUAAAUUGACAGCAAAUGCUUUAUACGAAACGACAGUCAAAACCAAUAUUUCCAAAGACCGGUCUUCGCAUACAUGCACACAAUGUAUGAAGUCCUUCGCUACACGUCGCUACUUGCUAAGACAUUUCAGACGUCAUAAAAAAACAGAUGGACAAAAAUGCGACAUACGUGGAACACACUUCAAAAAAGCGGAAACAUUACAAAAACAUAAAGAAACACAUAUUGAGAACACAGAAGAAUUAAAUGCCUUACCCGCAAUGAACUAUGGUUGUGAUUUGUGUGAUAUGAAAUAUGGUUCACAACGCACAUUGACAAGACACAAACGACUGCAGCAUGGUGUAGAAAAUCCGGAAGUGACACCUAAGCCCUACUCUUGCGAAUAUUGCAAAAAGAGUUUUCAGCAAUCGAGCACACUGAAGGAUCACAUGCGCACACAUACAGGAGAGCAGCCGUACUUGUGUUCUGAAUGUGGAAAAGCAUUUAGUAGUUCCAGCAAUUUGAAACAACAUUUAUUACGACACACUGGUGUUAAGCGAUAUGAGUGUCCUGACUGCCCGAAGAAGUUUCCCUGUCUCAGCGAUUUAGCUUCACACAAAGCAGUGCAUCUACAGAUCAAACCACAUGUAUGUGAUAUUUGCGGCAAUGCAUUUGGUAAAGGAUAUCAAUUAAAGAAGCACAAAAUGUAUCAUAAUGGUGAAAAGCCACACAAAUGCGAAUAUUGUGAGAUGCGUUUUGUAUGCAUGGAUCACCAGCGUCGUCAUAUGCGCACGCACACGGGAGAGAAGCCCUACAAAUGUAAAUACUGUGAACGAGCCUUUGCCCAAAGCAACGAUCUAAUCAAGCAUUUACGCACACACCUCGGUGAAAAUGUUUAUAAGUGUGAACUAUGUCCCAGUGCUUUUCGUUUGGCAACGGAGUUGCGCGUACACUUUGCUAACCACAAGAAUGACGAUGAGGCGACGCAAACGCGAAAUAUGCAAGCGCUUACCGAAGAGGAAAAUAAGAUGAAAAGUCGUUCGCAACCUCAACAAGCGCCAUCGCCGUAAUAAUCAAGAUAAGGGCAUGGUUUAUGACUCCAUUACUUACAACUAAAUAGGGAAAGGAAAAAGUACUUAUAAAAGGCACAUUAAGAAGUUUUUCAGUGUUAUGCCGUUGCCCGCUUAUCUGACAAGUUGAUCCAAUCAGGCACACGAUCAGUCUUUACAUAAGCCUCUUUAGUAAGCG